AUUUGGAUGAAUAUAUUAUAUAACUUAUUAUGUAUAGCAUCGAACACUUACCACCAUACAAAAAAUUAAACUUUUAGCAGGACGCAACUCUAACCCAUUAUAGCAUAGCAGCCCAAACGCUAUGGAUUGAAUAGAUUUGAGUAAAAUGCUAGCUCACUGAGCUAUCCUCAUUCAAUGCCAAUAGUCCACCCCCAGAACCUAUAAGGGAUUUAAACCCAUUACAUUGGAUGUAAUUUCAAUUGUAGAAUCAAGCAAUUACCACAGUGACAAAAGUUUAUACUUUUAGCAAUAGCACAACUCUAACAUCUUAUGACAUAACAAUCUAAGCACCAUAAG
This 336-nucleotide unclassified non-coding RNA is filed under the name Hevea brasiliensis (rubber tree). Lineage: Eukaryota; Viridiplantae; Streptophyta; Magnoliopsida; Malpighiales; Euphorbiaceae. The record is from RNAcentral.